GUCUACAGUCAUACCACCCUGAAAGUGCCCAGUCUCACCUGAUCUAGGAAGCUAAGCAGGGUCGGGCCUGGUUAGUACUUGGAUGGGGAAAAAAUGUUUUUAAUAGUCU
Molecule: ribosomal RNA, 109 nt
Organism: Cricetulus griseus (Chinese hamster)
Lineage: Eukaryota; Metazoa; Chordata; Mammalia; Rodentia; Cricetidae
Source: Ensembl